RNAcentral lists this long non-coding RNA (830 nucleotides) under Hordeum vulgare. RNAcentral's name for it is "long non-coding RNA (HVUL_LNC017121)". The record is from RNAcentral. Lineage: Eukaryota; Viridiplantae; Streptophyta; Magnoliopsida; Poales; Poaceae.
GAGGCGGAAGGGCAAUGCGAUGAUGCAGAUAAACUCCAAGAUCGAGGUGCGGCAGUCCCAUCCCGAGCCGUCGGCGUCGGCAGUCCCAUCCUAGGGUCUCGGGGGCAGGGCCGGUCCUGAGAUUUCAGGGGCCCGGGGCAAGUUAACACAUAAGGGCCCUAACGCCACAUAAAUAUAUGAGUACUAAUAUUACUAUUUUUUGCAAAAACAAUAGACUCAGUACACUAUAAUCUAUGUUGCAUUGUGAUCUAGAGUGUGAAAAACAAGAUCAUAAACACUGAAGGUAAAAGUUGUUCGCUCUUGUCCAUCGACACUUAUAUUUCGAGUAUUAGGAAAAUUCGGCACACUUUGGUCCCCACUCAAGCUAUUAUCAUCCUUGUUUUUUCACAUGUUGUUUCUAACAAUAACUAAAGCUAAUUAUUCAGAAUUACAGUUGUAUCUAUUCUAAAAAGUGCCAAUACCUCAUUUCUAUGACUCCAUCAAGUCAUUAGCAGAUGACAUCUUGGUAAAUUAUUAAGAGCAGUCUUGUUAAUUACUGGAGCAAGGCAUAGAAUUAACAUAAAACAUAUGAUAGAAGAAACUAAGACUGUUGGUUAAUUAAACUAAAAAAGUGCAAAAGAGAGGCACCUGAUCAGUGAUCACGAGGAUGGCUAGAAAAUUAGAAAAUGCAAGAUCUUGUUGUUGCUUACAGUUCACCAACAAAAAUUUGGGUUCCUCUUUUCUAACUCCAAGCAAAACGAGCAAUCGGAGUGCGUGACACAACGGUGUAGGAGGAUGACCUUCACGCAAGAGCUUGUCUUCACGAACAAAUGAACAAUCAGAAAAGCCUG